This is a ribosomal RNA of Toxoplasma gondii ME49, 1051 nucleotides long. Lineage: Eukaryota; Apicomplexa; Conoidasida; Eucoccidiorida; Sarcocystidae. The record is from RefSeq and is a predicted model, not a curated record.
GGAGGAGAAGAAAAUACCUAUGAUCCCUUAGUAACGGCGAGUGAACCGGAUCAGCUCAAAGUGGAAAUCAACUGCUCUUUCCGAGCUGUUGACUUGUAGCCUCGAGAGGCGUUACCAGUGGAAGCGCAGGGUUAAGUUUCUUGGGAAAGAACAUCAUAGAGGGUGAGAAUCCCGUCCUUCCCCUGCGUUUUUUGUUCCACGUACGGUACGCUUUUAUAGAGUCGCGUUCAUCGGGAUUUGAGCGCAAAAUGUGUGGUAGGUUUCACAUAAAGCUAAGUACUGGCGCGAGACCGAUAGCAAACAAGUACCGUGAGGGAAAGAUGAAAAGUUCUUUGGAAAGAGAGUUAAAAGUGCCUGAAAUUGCUGAAAAGGAAGCGAUUGGGACCUUUUUGAUUCCAAGAAGUGCCGCCGGUUUGCCAUCUAUCCCUUUGCCUUCUCUCUCUCACCAGGUUUAGGCUUUGGUUUCUUGAUGUAUUUCCGGUUCAUCUUUUUGGAGAGGUCAGCAUCAGCUACUCGGAAUUGAUUUCGUUCAAAGAAGGUAGGUUCCUUGUGGACCGUUAUAUCUUUGUUCUUUCCUUUUCCUUGUGGCUGAGGAGUGUUCCUGUUUCCGAGCUCCACUUUCGAGUACUCGGUUUCUGUGAUGCUGGCUUAAUCGGUUCCAACCGACCCGUCUUGAAACACGGACCAAGGAGUCUAACAUAUGUGCGAGUAUGCGGGUUUUACUCCUGUAUGCGCAAUGAAAGUGAGAGUAGGGAGAUUUUGGCUUUGCCAUUCUUCGCACCUACGACCGACCACGAUCUCUGAGAGAGGUUUGGGUUGUAGCAUAUCUGCUGUGACGACCCGACCGAUAGUAUGCUGUACUAUGCCUGAGUAAAAUGUGAAGUCGGGGAGAAACCCCUGAUGGAGGGUCCAUAGCGAUACUGACGUGCAAAUCGUUCGUCAAACUUGGGUAUAGGGGGCGAAGACUUAUCGAACCAUCUAGUAGCUGGUUUCUUUCGAAAGUUCUCUCAGGAUAGCUGGAAGUUUGUUAGUUUUAUCAGGUAAGCGAAUG